This 788-nucleotide long non-coding RNA is filed under the name Marmota monax (woodchuck). The record is from RNAcentral. Lineage: Eukaryota; Metazoa; Chordata; Mammalia; Rodentia; Sciuridae.
AGCAAAUAUUUUGAAACUGUAUUAGUCAGACAAUUCAUUUGAUAUAUGAAAGGUUUCAGUACUUUAGGCUCUCCUUUAAUGAUGCAAAUAGCAUAUUUUGGGUUGAAUUUCAUGACCACAUAUAAGAAUUAACGGAUGGCACUAGUCAAUUUUUCAGGUAUUUCAAGCAGCCAUUAUUUUCAGAAUUUCUAUCAGAGUGGGCAUUAUCUAUCUAAAGCCCCCUGUGCCCUCCCAUAUUCUGAUUUAUGUAGACAUAUGUGGUUAGAGGAAGCCUUUCCACAUUCAACUCCAAGGAGACAAAUAUCAGCCAAUCAGUACUUUCAAUUCUUGGCCACAGAUACUGGUGUGCUGUGAUAAUGUGACCUAACCCUGCCCCCUCAGUUAUUCUCAGUUUUUGAACAAUGUGUAUUACAGUAGACAUAAUGCCUAAAAUCAGUGAGGCAACCCACCUGAAAUUAAAGCCAACUCACAGAGGACUCGAAAGACCUAGAAAUCCUUAGAGAGCCAGGUGAGAGCCACUGUGAUGAGGCUGGCUCUCCCUCUGCAUUUACAUUUAUGUGAACCAACAAAUGAUCCUUCUUUUAAAAAAUGGUUUGUUUGUUUUUUCUUGUUUGCAACCUAAAAAAAUGUAUACUUUUGGGCUGAGGAUGAGGCUCAAGCAGUAGCGCGCUGGCCUGGCAUGCGUGCGGCCCGGGUUCAAUCCUCAGCACCCAUACAAAAGAUAUUGUGUCCACCAAUAACUAAAAAAAUAAAUAAAUAUUGAAAUUCUCUCUCUCUUUCUCUCUCUC